This 2632-nucleotide long non-coding RNA is filed under the name Lathyrus oleraceus (garden pea). RNAcentral describes it as "Pisum sativum (pea) long non-coding RNA (PSAT_LNC041162)". The record is from RNAcentral. Lineage: Eukaryota; Viridiplantae; Streptophyta; Magnoliopsida; Fabales; Fabaceae.
AGGAUGUACUUAAUAUAAAUAUUUAGCUUACAUUAUUUAAUAGAAAUCUCUGGUUCAUAAUCACUUUAUGAUUGUAUAAACAAAAUACAAAGGGUAACAAAAUACGUACUGCUGAAAAAUUGUCAUAUUUUCCUCUUUUUUCUAUCUUUUAUGAGUAAUUUUCUUUCUUAUCUAUCAAAUGUACGGAACAAUUGAUUUCUGAUAUAGGUUAAUCUUUUGAAGGUUACACAUCUCUAACUUGUUUAUUUUGUCACUCUAUUCAUCUGUGUUUCCUCUUAUUUUCAAUUUUAUUUAUGCAUCACCAAUGAUUAUGAUAGGGUUUUUCGUAUUGUUUUGAUGAGAUUGAGGUGUUUGUUAGGAUUAUGAGGAUCUCACAAUAAUAAAGUUGGUGCAAAUGUAACACUAGAUAAUUGAUUCGGUUGGUUUCCUUUAAUACAUACGGUCUCAUUUUCAUUGUCUUGUAAUUAUUCUUUUUCCUUUUUUUCUUUUUCAUUUUCUUGUAAUUAUUCUUUUUUCUUUUUUUCUUUUUCAUUUUCUACUUAUAAUUAGUAUUUUAGCAUAUUUUUAAUCUAUAUAACUUAUGUUAAUCGUUUAAUUAUCAUAAUAUAGAAGAUGACAUUUUAUGUUCUUUAGGAUAUAAGUAUAUAUUUAAUUAAUUUUGAUGUUCAAUACAUAUCUUUCUAAAUUAAUUAAUGUCAUGGUUUGUUACUCAUUAAAUGUUUGAAUGAUUUAUAGAAUUGAGGAUUUAUUAAUAUAAAUAUUUAGCUUGCAAUAUUUAAUAGAAAUCUCUGGUACAUAACCACUUUAUGAUUGUAUAAACAAAAUACAAAGGGUAAAAAAAUACGUACUGCUGAAAAAUUGUCAUAUUUUCCUUUUUUUUCUAUCUUUUAUGAGUAAUUUUCUUUCUUAUCUAUCAAAUGUACGGAACAAUUGAUUUCUGAUAUAGGUUAAUCUUUUGAAGGUUACACAUCUCUAACUUGUUUAUUUUGUCACUCUAUUCAUCUGUGUUUCCUCUUAUUUUCAAUUUUAUUCUUGCAUCACCAAUGAUUAUGAUAGUGUUUUUCGUAUUGUUUUGAUGAGAUUGAGAUGUUUGUUAGGAUUAUGAGGAUCUCACAAUAAUAAAGUUGGUGCUAAUGUAACACUAGAUAAUUGAUUGGGUUGGUUUCCUUUAAUACAUACGGUCUCAUUUUCAUUGUCUUGUAAUUAUUCUUUUUUCUUUUUUUCUUUUUCAUUUUCUUGUAAUUAUUCUUUUUUCUUUUUCAUUUUCUUGUAAUUAUUCUUUUUUCUUUUUUUAUUUUUGAUUUUCUACUUAUAAUUACUAUUUUAGCAUAUUUUUUAAUCUAUAUAACUUAUGUUAAUCGUUUACUUAUCAGAAUAUAGAAGAUGACAUUUUAUGUUCUUUAGGAUAUAAGUAUAUAUUUAAUUAGUUUUGAUGUUCAAUACAUAUCUUUCUAAAUUAAUUAAUGUCAAGGUUUGUUACUCAAUAAAUGUUUGAUUGAUUUAUAUCAUUCAGGAUUUACUUAAUAUAAUCAUUUAGCUUACAAUAUUUAAUAGAAAUCUCUGGUUCAUAAUCACUUUAUGAUUGUAUAAACAAAAUACAAAGGGUAAAAAAAUACGUACUGCUAAAAAAUUGUCAUAUUUUCCUCUUUUUUUCUAUCUUUUAUGAGUAAUUUUCUUUCUUAUCUAUCAAAUGUACGGAACAAUUGAUUUCUGAUAUAGGUUAAUCUUUUGAAGGUUACACAUCUCUAACUUGUUAAUUUUGUCAUUCAUUCAUCUGUGUUUCCUCUUAUUUUCAAUUUUAUUCUUGCAUCACCAAUGAUUAUGAUAGGGUUUUUCAUAUUGUUUUGAUGAGAUUAAGAUGUUUGUUAGGAUUAUGAGGAUCUCACAAUAAUAAAAAUUCUUGCAUCACCAAUGAUUAUGAUAGGGUUUUUCAUAUUGUUUUGAUGAGAUUAAGAUGUUUGUUAGGAUUAUGAGGAUCUCACAAUAAUAAAGUUGGUGCUAAUGUAACACUAGAUAAAUGAUUCGGUUGGUUUCCUUUAAUACAUACGGUCUCAUUUUCAUUGUCUUGUAAUUAUUCUAUUUUCUUUUUUUCUUUUUCAUUUUCUUGUAAUUAUUCUUUUUUCUUUUUUUCUUUUUCAUUUUUUACUUAUAAUCUAUAUAACUUAUGUUAAUCGUUUAAUUAUCAUAAUAUAGAAGAUGACAUUUUAUGUUCUUUAGGAUAUAAGUAUAUAUUUAAUUAAUUUUGAUGUUCAACACAUAUCUUUCUAAAUUAAUUAAUGUCAUGGUUUGUUACUCAUUAAAUGUUUGAAUGAUUUAUAUAAUUGAGGAUUUACUUAAUAUAAAUAUUUAGCUUGCAAUAUUUAAUAGAAAUCUCUGGUACAUAAUCACUUUAUGAUUGUAUAAACAAAAUACAAAGGGUAAAAAAAUACGCACUGCUGAAAAAUUGUCAUAUUUUCCUUUUUUUUCUAUCUUUUAUGAGUAAUUUUCUAUCUUAUCUUUCAAAUAUACAGAACAAUUGAUUUCUGAUAUAGGUUAAUCUUUUGAAGGUUACACAUCUCUAACUUGCUUAUUUUGUCACUCUAUUCAUCUGUGUUUCCUCUUAUUUUCAAUUUUAUUCUUGCAUCACCAAUGA